Salvia hispanica is the source of this 445-nucleotide long non-coding RNA. RefSeq lists it as uncharacterized. The record is from RefSeq and is a predicted model, not a curated record. NCBI's taxonomy places the organism in Eukaryota, Viridiplantae, Streptophyta, Magnoliopsida, Lamiales, Lamiaceae.
UCUCUCCAACAACCAAAUAAAUCAAUAUCUAUCAGUUUUUGGUGUAUAAAUAUUCCACAUUCACGAUUCUUUCACAUCCAAGUAAAAUCUGUGAGAAACCUACUGCAGUUCUUCUUCUCCAUUCCAAUAAAGUGGAGAGGAUUAAUCGAUUAACCUGUGAAUCCAAAUUUUCUCAGCAAAUCCAAUUUGGUCUCUUCAUUCCAAAGAUUGAGCGGCGAUGGAUGUGGAGGAUGUUGAGCAGAGUUGUUGGAAAAUUAUAUCUUGUUUGGUUGUUGGAUUUGUCGGGUCUUCAUACUUGGCAUUUUUCCAUGUCUUGACGCUUCCGUUAAAAUCCUAAAUUUCCUUGGGAAUGUUUUAUCAUUGGGUCUUAUUAUUCGAAGUUAGUUUUGUGGAGUCAGUAUUCGAGUUUGUUUUAAGUUUCUCAGUUAAUCUUUUGUUUUGGUCG